This 481-nucleotide ribosomal RNA is filed under the name uncultured bacterium. RNAcentral describes it as "bacterial SSU rRNA". It matches the Rfam family "Bacterial small subunit ribosomal RNA", at positions 10 to 507 of the family's 1533-position model. The record is from RNAcentral.
AGUUGAUCAUGGCUCAGGACGAACGCUGGCGGCGUGCUUAACACAUGCAAGUCGAACGGUGACGGAGAGCUUGCUCUCCUGAUCAGUGGCGAACGGGUGAGUAACACGUGGGCAACCUGCCCCAGACUUCGGGAUAACGCUUCGAAAGAGGUGCUAAUACCGGAUACGAACUCCUUGGGCAUCCUUGGAGUUGGAAAGUUUUCGGUCUGGGAUGGGCCCGCGGCCUAUCAGCUUGUUGGUGAGGUAACGGCUCACCAAGGCGACGACGGGUAGCCGGCCUGAGAGGGCGACCGGCCACACUGGGACUGAGACACGGCCCAGACUCCUACGGGAGGCAGCAGUGGGGAAUAUUGCGCAAUGGGCGAAAGCCUGACGCAGCAACGCCGCGUGAGGGAUGACGGCCUUCGGGUUGUAAACCUCUUUCAGCAGGGAAGAAGCGAAAGUGACGGUACCUGCAGAAGAAGCACCGGCUAACUACGUG